AUUUAUCAAAUUUUUAGAUAUUUCAAACAAAUCAGAAAAAUAAACCAUUCUAUCGAGAGGAGUAUAAUAAAAUGACCAAACAUACAACGCAAGCUCAACCAACAACUUCAAAUAUUUUAGUCAUUUUAUUAUGCUCAUAGGACUGGAACUUUAGUAAAGAAACUACUAAACGUUUAAGUCCUUAUUCUAGUUGAAUGGGGCUUUAAAG
Molecule: small RNA, 208 nt
Organism: Staphylococcus saprophyticus
Lineage: Bacteria; Bacillati; Bacillota; Bacilli; Caryophanales; Staphylococcaceae
Rfam family: Listeria sRNA rli60
Source: Rfam